RNAcentral lists this long non-coding RNA (1271 nucleotides) under Monodelphis domestica (gray short-tailed opossum). RNAcentral's name for it is "lncRNA (ENSMODG00000033481.2)". The record is from RNAcentral. Lineage: Eukaryota; Metazoa; Chordata; Mammalia; Didelphimorphia; Didelphidae.
CUCCUUUGUGGUUCUCAGGGAGGGUGGGUCCAGCAGAAGAUCACAGCAGGAUGGACAACAGCCCAUUUCCUGUCUUCUGGGAAGGACUAGAGCCGAAGUCAGAGGGACUUCCCCAUGACUUGCUCACCAACCUCUACCUCUCUCGUUUUCUCCUUCACCACAGUAGCAGGCAUGGCGCCAGAGGAGCCGGAAUAUUCCACCGUUCAGUGCCCCGAGACAAGGAAGGACAAACUGCUGUACUCUCUGGCUGGCAUAGAAGAUCCUGACACCCCCAGGUAUCAGAACUUCAGGAAAGGUAAGUCAGCCCGGCCAGGAAGCCUUUCUCUGUCCUUCUUCAGACAGCAGAGAUGCUGGCGGACAACACAUGCCCUAGAAAUGGCUCCUUCUGCCUUUGGUGCCACGUGGUCCUAUGUGAAGGACCACAAGCAGGCGGUGCUAGAAACAUUUUACAAGCCUUGGGCAUCUCUCAGCCACAGCUAAUAAAUGAAUUAAAUUAGAAUUAUAGCACAAUGAAGAAAUAAGCAAGGAUUUAUUAAAUGCCUAUGUACCAGGAAAUGGGCUACGUGCUGGGGGUACAGAAAGAGGCAAAGGAGACUCCCUUCCCUCAAAGAGCUCACAAUCUAAUGGUUGGGGGAGGGGAGAGGCGGCACCUGGGUAGCUCAGUGGAUUGAGAGCCAGGCCCAGAGACGGGAGGUCCUGGGUUCAAAUAUGGCCUCAGACACUUCCCAGCUGUAUGACCCUGGGCAAGUCACUUAACCCCCAUUGCCCAGCCCUUACCACUCUUCUGCCUUGGCACCAGUGUUGAUUCUGCAACAGAAUGGGAGGGUUAAAAAAAACAAUCUAAUGGUAUGAAUUACUUAAUUAUCCAAUAAGCAGUGGGACCACAGAGAAGUCCUUAACUUCUUUGGGCCUCAGUUUCCUUAUCUGAAAAAUGUAAAAUUUCUAUUAUUGUGAGAGAAUCAUUCUUGUUUGUGGUUUGUGUUUUAUUUUUAAAUUAUCUAUAAAAGCCUUUUGUUUCUUUUGCCACACAUUCUGUGGCAUAUUUGUAAGAUAAAAAAAUGGGGGGAAAGGAGAGAAGUUGGAUUUGGUGAUCACCAAAUUCCUUUCUAACCCUAAACCUAUGAUCCAAUGACUAGAUUCCCCAGCCCAUAGGGAGCCACCAAGGUUUUUUGAGGGGAGUAGCCUGAUUAAGAAGAGGGUUUUCCCAAGUUAAAUGCAUCUAAAUAUGAUACAUAAAUAAAUUAUAUUUAUAUAUUAUAUAUAAUUAAUAA